This 514-nucleotide ribosomal RNA is filed under the name uncultured Gammaproteobacteria bacterium. RNAcentral's name for it is "bacterial SSU rRNA". It matches the Rfam family "Bacterial small subunit ribosomal RNA", at positions 369 to 896 of the family's 1533-position model. Lineage: Bacteria; Pseudomonadati; Pseudomonadota; Gammaproteobacteria. The record is from RNAcentral.
CAAUGGGUGGCAACCCUGACGCAGCAAUGCCGCGUGAGUGAAGAAGGCCUUCGGGUCGUAAAGCUCUUUUAUGGGGGAAGAUGAUGACGGUACCCCAUGAAUAAGCACCGGCUAACUACGUGCCAGCAGCCGCGGUAAUACGUAGGGUGCGAGCGUUGUUCGGAAUUACUGGGCGUAAAGGGCGUGCAGGCGGAUUGGCAAGCCGGAGGUGAAAGCCCGGGGCUCAACCCCGGAGGGUCUUUCGGAACUGCCAGUCUUGAGAGGGUCAGGGGCCAGCGGAAUUCCUGGUGUAGAGGUGAAAUUCGUAGAGAUCAGGAGGAACACCGGCGGCGAAAGCGGCUGGCUGGGGCCACUCUGACGCUGAGGCGCGAAAGCGUGGGGAGCAAACAGGAUUAGAUACCCUGGUAGUCCACGCCGUAAACGAUGGGCACUAAGCGUCCGACGGGUUCGACCCUGUUGGGUGCUGCAGUUAACGCGUUAAGUGCCCCGCCUGGGGAGUACGGUCGCAAGACUA